This 301-nucleotide ribosomal RNA is filed under the name uncultured bacterium. RNAcentral's name for it is "partial 16S ribosomal RNA". It matches the Rfam family "Bacterial small subunit ribosomal RNA", at positions 509 to 807 of the family's 1533-position model. The record is from RNAcentral.
CAGUCGCCACGGGAAUACGUAGGGUGCGAGCGUUGAUCGGAACUACUGGGCGUAAAGCGUGCGCAGGCGGUUCGUUAAGACAGAUGUGAAAUCCCCGGGCUUAACCUGGGAACUGCAUUUGUGACUGCAAAGCUAGAGUGCGGCAGAGGGGGAUGGAAUUCCGCGUGUAGCAGAGAAAUGCGUAGAUAUGCGGAGGAACACCGAUGGCGAAGGUAAUCCCCUGGGCCUGCACUGACGCUCAUGCACGAAAGCGUGGGGAGCAAACAGGAUUAGAUACCCCAGUAGUCCCUGUCUCUUAUAC